GGGCGCGUAGCUCAGUUGGUAGAGCAGCGGACUCUUAAUCCGUCGGUCCAGGGUUCGACCCCCUGCGCACCCACCA
This 76-nucleotide transfer RNA is filed under the name Sutterella sp. CAG:351. Its description in RNAcentral is "transfer RNA-Lys(CTT)". It matches the Rfam family "tRNA". Rfam says of the family: Transfer RNA (tRNA) molecules are approximately 80 nucleotides in length. Their secondary structure includes four short double-helical elements and three loops (D, anti-codon, and T loops). The record is from RNAcentral. RNAcentral also lists the same sequence under 7 other names. Lineage: Bacteria; Pseudomonadati; Pseudomonadota; Betaproteobacteria; Burkholderiales; Sutterellaceae.